Molecule: ribosomal RNA, 568 nt
Filed under: bacterium het-d-8
Lineage: Bacteria
Description: bacterial SSU rRNA
Rfam family: Bacterial small subunit ribosomal RNA
Source: RNAcentral
CUACACAUGCAGUCGAGCGGGGAGGUUGCUUCGGUAACUGAGCUAGCGGCGGACGGGUGAGUAAUGCUUAGGAAUCUGCCUAUUAGUGGGGGACAACAUUCCGAAAGGGAUGCUAAUACCGCAUACGUCCUACGGGAGAAAGCAGGGGAUCAUUUGACCUUGCGCUAAUAGAUGAGCCUAAGUCGGAUUAGCUAGUUGGUGGGGUAAAGGCCUACCAAGGCGACGAUCUGUAGCGGGUCUGAGAGGAUGAUCCGCCACACUGGGACUGAGACACGGCCCAGACUCCUACGGGAGGCAGCAGUGGGGAAUAUUGGACAAUGGGGGGAACCCUGAUCCAGCCAUGCCGCGUGUGUGAAGAAGGCCUUUUGGUUGUAAAGCACUUUAAGCGAGGAGGAGGCUCUCUUGGUUAAUACCUGAGAAGAGUGGACGUUACUCGCAGAAUAAGCACCGGCUAACUCUGUGCCAGCAGCCGCGGUAAUACAGAGGGUGCGAGCGUUAAUCGGAUUUACUGGGCGUAAAGCGCGCGUAGGUGGCUAAUUAAGUCAAAUGUGAAAUCCCCGAGCUUAAC